RNAcentral lists this ribosomal RNA (253 nucleotides) under uncultured bacterium. Its description in RNAcentral is "partial 16S ribosomal RNA". It matches the Rfam family "Bacterial small subunit ribosomal RNA", at positions 524 to 776 of the family's 1533-position model. The record is from RNAcentral.
UACGUAGGGUGCAAGCGUUGUCCGGAAUUAUUGGGCGUAAAGAGCUCGUAGGCGGUUUGUUGCGUCGGCUUUGAAAUCCCGAGGCUCAACCUCGGGUCUGCAGUCGAUACGAGCAAACUAGAGUGUUGCAGGGGAGACUGGAAUUCCUGGUGUAGCGGUGAAAUGCGCAGAUAUCAGGAGGAACACCGGUGGCGAAGGCGGGUCUCUGGGCCGAUACUGACGCUGAGGAGCGAAAGCGUGGGGAGCGAACAGG